Small nuclear RNA from Xenopus tropicalis (tropical clawed frog), 192 nucleotides. Its record names the gene U2. It matches the Rfam family "U2 spliceosomal RNA". From Rfam's summary of the family: U2 is a small nuclear RNA (snRNA) component of the spliceosome (involved in pre-mRNA splicing). Complementary binding between U2 snRNA (in an area lying towards the 5' end but 3' to hairpin I) and the branchpoint sequence (BPS) of the intron results the bulging out of an unpaired adenosine, on the BPS, which initiates a nucleophilic attack at the intronic 5' splice site, thus starting the first of two transesterification reactions that mediate splicing. The record is from Ensembl. NCBI's taxonomy places the organism in Eukaryota, Metazoa, Chordata, Amphibia, Anura, Pipidae.
AUCCCUCAGGGUGAGGUACUCAAGGAUGAUACAAUAUCAUCUGUUCUUAUCAGUUUAAUAUCUGAUAUGUCCCCUAUCUGGGGACCAUAUAUUAAAUGGAUUUUUGGAACAGGGAGAUGGAAGAAGAGCUUGCUCUGUCCACUCCACGCAUCAACCUGGUAUUGCAGUACCUCCAGGACCGGUGCACCUCUC